UACGGAGGGGGCAAGCGUUGUUCGGAAUUACUGGGCGUAAAGGGUUCGUAGGUGGCGUGCUAAGUCAGACGUGAAAUCCCUCAGCUUAACUGGGGAACUGCGUCUGAUACUGGCGAGCUUGAGUGCAGGAGAGGAACGCAGAAUUCCAGGUGUAGCGGUGAAAUGCGUAGAUAUCUGGAGGAAUACCGGUGGCGAAGGCGGCGUUCUGGACUGCAACUGACACUGAUGAACGAAAGCCAGGGGAGCAAACGGG
This 253-nucleotide ribosomal RNA is filed under the name uncultured bacterium. RNAcentral describes it as "partial 16S ribosomal RNA". It matches the Rfam family "Bacterial small subunit ribosomal RNA", at positions 524 to 776 of the family's 1533-position model. The record is from RNAcentral.